This 773-nucleotide ribosomal RNA is filed under the name uncultured bacterium. RNAcentral describes it as "bacterial SSU rRNA". It matches the Rfam family "Bacterial small subunit ribosomal RNA", at positions 718 to 1502 of the family's 1533-position model. The record is from RNAcentral.
AAGGCAGCUUGCCAUACUGCGACUGACACUGAAGCACGAAGGCGUGGGUAUCAAACAGGAUUAGAUACCCUGGUAGUCCACGCAGUAAACGAUGAUUACUAGGAGUUUGCGAUAUACCGUCAAGCUUCCACAGCGAAAGCGUUAAGUAAUCCACCUGGGGAGUACGCCGGCAACGGUGAAACUCAAAGGAAUUGACGGGGGCCCGCACAAGCGGAGGAACAUGUGGUUUAAUUCGAUGAUACGCGAGGAACCUUACCCGGGAUUGAAAUGUAGAUGACGGAUGGUGAAAUCCGUCUUCCCUUCGGGGCGUCUAUGUAGGUGCUGCAUGGUUGUCGUCAGCUCGUGCCGUGAGGUGUCGGCUUAAGUGCCAUAACGAGCGCAACCCACAUCGGUAGUUGCUAACAGUUUUCGCUGAGGACUCUACCGAGACUGCCGUCGUAAGGCGUGAGGAAGGUGUGGAUGACGUCAAAUCAGCACGGCCCUUACAUCCGGGGCGACACACGUGUUACAAUGGGAGGGACAAAGGGCAGCUACCGGGCGACUGGAUGCGAAUCUCUAAACCCUUCCCCAGUUCGGAUCGGAGUCUGCAACUCGACUCCGUGAAGCUGGAUUCGCUAGUAAUCGCACAUCAGCCAUGGCGCGGUGAAUACGUUCCCGGGCCUUGUACACACCGCCCGUCAAGCCAUGGGAGUCGGGGGUACCUGAAGGGCGUAACCGCAAGGGGCGCACUAGGGUAAUACCGUUGCUGGGGCUAAGUCGUAACAAGGUAGCCG